AAACGACAUCGAAAGCUUGCUUUUGAUGGGCGUCGACCGGCGCACGGGUGAGUAACGCGUAUCCAACCUGCCCAUCACUUGGGAAUAACCUUGCGAAAGUAAGACUAAUACCCAAUGAUAUCCCACGAAGGCAUCCGAAGUGAAUUAAAGAUUUAUCGGUGAUGGAUGGGGAUGCGUCUGAUUAGCUUGUUGGCGGGGUAACGGCCCACCAAGGCGACGAUCAGUAGGGGUUCUGAGAGGAAGGCCCCCACAAUGGGACUGAGACACGGCCCAUACUCC
This 279-nucleotide ribosomal RNA is filed under the name uncultured Prevotellaceae bacterium. RNAcentral describes it as "partial 16S ribosomal RNA". It matches the Rfam family "Bacterial small subunit ribosomal RNA", at positions 64 to 339 of the family's 1533-position model. Lineage: Bacteria; Pseudomonadati; Bacteroidota; Bacteroidia; Bacteroidales; Prevotellaceae. The record is from RNAcentral.